RNAcentral lists this long non-coding RNA (864 nucleotides) under Olea europaea subsp. europaea. The record is from RNAcentral. Lineage: Eukaryota; Viridiplantae; Streptophyta; Magnoliopsida; Lamiales; Oleaceae.
GCAGGGUUUCGGUUGGUCCCUGCAAAGUUGCAUGAGAGAGGCCACGAUCUUCCUGAUUCGCUUGCUACUUGCAAAGAAGGCUGAGAACUUAUCAGCCAAAUCUGAGAAUGAGGCUAUGGAGUUGGGCUCCAAUGUCGAGAACCAAUCCCUAGUAGCAUUAGUUAGCGUUUGUGGAAAGGGUUUGCACGUAACCUAAUCCGAUGCAACUUGCAAGUUCAUGACAUCAGUGUAUACAUUGAGAUGGUUGAUGGGGUCGGUCAUCCAAUCAUACUCUUUAAUGCGAGGAUACUUGAAUCUGUCGGGCAAGGGAUAUGUCAAUAUCUCUGGCAUGAAUGGAGUGUUAGGGGUGAAACCUGUUAACCCCCGAGCAUUACGUUGCAGGCUAGCUGUAAUUCCUUCUUGAAUGAUCCGGGCAAUUUCACCGGAAUCUAUGGCGACCGAUCUCGAGCCCGAGGCCAUAUUAUGAAUGCUCGAUGUUCCAACUCCGCCAUUUGCUGGGUUUGGUGGUCGUGCUCGAGCAUUGGCCAUAAAACCGCCAUGCUCCGCCUGCGCUGGCAACGGAUGUGAAUUUCUUUGACUUAAAAGUUGCGUGAGCGUGGCCACCUGCUGACGAAGCUCUUCAAAGGCUUCGAUUGUAAUGACUGCUGGCAGAGGUGUGGGCACUCCCGAGGAUUCUUCAUGAGGAGUCGGUUGAUCUUCGGCAGGAUGAGGGAUGGGAGCGGAUGAGCUUGCAGGAGGAAGACCUACUCACGUGUUAACCAUGGCUUUUGGUAGCGAUUCCCACAGACGGCGCCAAGAUGAUUCAGGUUGAUCACGAUCGUAGUCUUCCGAUACCUAAAACAAAGGCAACGAGGUGUGUUCUCG